RNAcentral lists this ribosomal RNA (367 nucleotides) under uncultured bacterium. RNAcentral describes it as "bacterial SSU rRNA". It matches the Rfam family "Bacterial small subunit ribosomal RNA", at positions 527 to 896 of the family's 1533-position model. The record is from RNAcentral.
GGAGGGUGCAAGCGUUGUCCGGAUUUAUUGGGUUUAAAGGGUGCGUAGGUGGCCUUAUAAGUCAGCGGUGAAAGUCUGCAGCUUAACUGUAGAACUGCCAUUGAUACUGUAGGGCUUGAGUACUGAUGAGGUAGGCGGAAUUGAUAGUGUAGCGGUGAAAUGCAUAGAUAUUAUCAAGAACACCGAUUGCGAAGGCAGCUUACUAAGGAGUUACUGACACUGAGGCACGAAAGCGUGGGGAUCAAACAGGAUUAGAUACCCUGGUAGUCCACGCCAUAAACGAUGAUUACUCGAUGUAUGCGAUAGACUGUAUGCGUCCAAGCGAAAGCGUUAAGUAAUCCACCUGGGGAGUACGACCGCAAGGUUG